This 3048-nucleotide long non-coding RNA is filed under the name Acanthaster planci (crown-of-thorns starfish). RNAcentral describes it as "uncharacterized LOC110988621". Lineage: Eukaryota; Metazoa; Echinodermata; Asteroidea; Valvatida; Acanthasteridae. The record is from RNAcentral.
GACCAUCGGCAAUUUUAUUUGAAUGUUUGGGAGCUUACUGAGUUAUCAAAAAUAAGACCGUCUGUAGGAUCAGCAGUGACACAAAACAGCUGGCCAAUUUUUAAGUGUGAUUUUUGGAACAUCAAUUAUCAGAAAUGAAAGUGUAAGACCAGCCUGUGGGAUCGGCAAUGAAAGAAGACAGUCAGCCAUCUUAAGUUUAAUGUUUGAGGCUUAUCAAACUUGUCUGGAGGCUUGGCAAUGACAUGAGACAGUCGGACAACUUCAGAGUGAAAUGUUUGGAAUAGCAACAAUCAGCAGUAAAAGUGUAAGACUGAGACAUCCGGCCACCUUCUUAGUGUAAUUUUAGUGGUUUAACUUAGAAAUAAAAAUGUAACACUGGUUUGUAGGAUUGGCAUUGACACUAGACAUCCUGCCAACUUCAAAGUGAAACGUCUGGAACAUCAACGAAAAGUGUAAGACCAGUGAGUGGGAUCAGGAGGAGACAGCCGGCCAACUUCAAGUGUAAUGUUUGAAGCCUUACCACGGAUAAAAAAAAGUAGAAAACUUUAAGACUGGUCUGUGCGAUGAAAAUGGGACAUUGUGAAUUACCCUUAUCAAUGUGCAACCUGUCUGUGGGUACAGUAUUGAAAACGACAUUAUCCUGCCAAUUCAAGGUAAUGAUUGGACCCUUUUUAUGCGUGGCAAAAGUAAUACCAAUCUGCUUGAUUGGCAAAGAUAAUGUGAAAGAUAAUCAUAUCAACCUGAAUUAAGAGAAGGUUUUGCAGUUUUACCUUUGUUGACAAAAAUGUGAAUUUGGUCUUAAGCCUCUGUAUAGAAAUAAGUAAGUUUGUAUUUGUAAUAAGUAAGUGGUAUUUGCAGCUUUAAAUUUUCAUUUUAAACUAUAUGUCUAGUCUACCUAGAGUAAUUGGUGAGGGCUGCUUAACUUAGCAGGUUAUAAAUAAAAAUAUGACUGGCUCUGGUCAAUUGGCAUUGUCAUUGUGACAUCAUGAUAUCACCUUUAAGAGAAGUGGGUACAGCUUUAGCUUUUUUCAAAACUGCUAGGAUGUUGUUUGGAGUAUUAGCUGGAUUUUAGAGUAAUGUCAACAGCAAAACUAAAAAGUAAUCUUUGGAGCCUUACAAGGUCACCCAGAUGCUAAAUUGUUAGUAGAAGAUACUAUUGACCUGUUUUGGAAAUCAAAAUACAUGCGUGGACUCAUACAAAAAUUUACAGGUUUUGUGCUCUUGUACCACUGUAAUAGAAGAAAAGUUCUUUAACAAAUAUUUUUUAGUUGUUGGAGGUAGUACAUCAUGGGAACGUGUAUUUUCUGAUAAUAUUUAGACUAGUGAAUGUCCUUUCCACCUGUUUCCCCAACAAUUGAGAAAAUGACUUUAAUGCAAUCUUAGGAAUAGGUCAAGCUGAAUUUCUUGUAUUGCAUGUGUACUAAGUCAAGUCCUGCAGUUUCCAUCAAAAAUGACAAAAAUCUUAAGGUGAAACAGGGUGGAUGAGGACACAGACAGGACAUGGAUGAACCUCAACUAAGCCAAUACACAACCAGAGGAACCAGAAGCAGGCAGGAGGACCUACAGAUGAACUGAUGACCCUGCUUGCUGAACAUGACAUUACAGGUCCUCAAGGUGAAGUUAAUCAUGAAAAUGAAGAAUAUGUGGUUAAAUAGCAUAGAACGACAAAUCCCUGAUCCCCCUUUCCCCUCUGUUGGUGGUUUCCCCUUCCCGUUUUUAGUGGAUGUUUCAUUGCAUCUUUGGCAAAGCAAUGUGGUUGAGGUUAAACCCUCCCUUAAAUGUGAAUGUUGCAAGAAGAGAAUGUACAGUUGAAACAUUUUGCAAAGGGGCCAAAUGGGUACAAGAAAAAGCAUGCAGCUGAAAGCUGUGAAGGAACUUAUCUGUGAAUCCACAUAAAACCCACUUAAUGGAGGUUUCUGUAGUAAUUUGGAAGUUAAGUUUUGUUGUUAGAUUUCAGGAGAGGAAGAUGAGCUAAUGGCCCUGCUGGUUGAGUAUGUUUUUGACUCUUGAGGUUAGUUUGAGUUAUAACUCAACAGGAGUUGACCAGUGUGUGAUUGCUCGUGGAUGUCACAAGAGCUGAACAUUAAGAUUUUCUGGUGCAAUCUCAUUAUCAACAGGUGAGACAAACUUAUUUGAAUAUUAAUGAAUUCAACGGAGUGGAGGAGCUCAGUAGUGUGUAUGUGCAUGUAUCACGCAGCUCUAUAUGUGUAGAAGAAUGACUCCAAAUCUGCUAUAUGAACAUCAUUGUUGAUAAAUCAGGCCAUGUAUUAACCAUCUGGCAAUGAAUUGGAUCACAGAUACACAAAGACCUCAAGAGAAGUUUAUUAUCUUCAAUAUUAUCAGUGGCAGCAUGUUUUGAACUAUUGCAUAUUAAAAGAACUUAUUUCUAUGAGGAUCCUACCAAGAGAAAAUGAACUACACAACUAUUUGAUUAAGAACUGUCCUAACAACAAGUGACAUUUGCUUGUAUUCAAGAAAUCUUGUUAAUGUAACCUAGCUGGCCUAGGUCGAGAAGUUUUUUUAUUUAAUCAGAGGAAUUCAUGCAGCUGGCCAAGAAGAAUCCUGAAGAGUGAAUCUCAUGACAUUUACUCCCAUAUGAUUAAGCUCCAUCACUGAGGCGAACCACCAGCAUGGAGGAUGAAAAAAAUAUGACUGAUUGUGUUCACUAUGCCUAAUUCUAAAGGAGAUGAAGGAUGACAAUCCUGAUAUGAUUGACUGGCUAGUGAGGAGGUUGCUGCACCUGGAUGAAAGUUACCAUGGCUACAUAUACACCCCAUCACAGGUGAAAGAAGGCAAGGAGCACCAAGCACAAAAGGAAGUAGGCGAGGAAUUCUCUGUCCGACAUGGAGCACGAUGACACCACCUGAUCGCAGUUGAUGUCAAGGAAAGGAAGAGAGGAAGAGAGACUAAUCAGCAGAUUCUGCAAGCAGUUGACAUCCCCAAUAUAAUAUAUGCCAAGAUGGCGUGUUGCAUUCUGACACCUCCCCACGCCCUCCAACUUACUGUGUUAUUGUUUAAGAGUGUGAAUAUGGGCAAUUCACAAUAGUG